Molecule: long non-coding RNA, 105 nt
Organism: Etheostoma cragini (Arkansas darter)
Lineage: Eukaryota; Metazoa; Chordata; Actinopteri; Perciformes; Percidae
Exons: 4
Source: RefSeq, a predicted model, not a curated record
CUAGAUCAGUGUUUCUCACAUUUUUCAAUAUUGUACCCCCUUUGAAUUACUUUUUAAGCCAAGUACCCCCUGACCAGUGCAAAACACUACAGGAACAAUACAGCG